AAAUAUAUAAAUUAAAAUCUUAGAAACAUUUUAAUUUAUUUAUCGAAAAAGAGGGGAAAAUUGAUGGAGCAUUAAAUUAAUAAUUCAAUCAGUUAUAUUAGGUCAUGUACUUAUAAAUGUGAAAAGGGUUCUUUAAGAAAAGAAAAUAAAAGGUGAAAAGGAUUCUUACUUCUUCAAGAUUUUUAUUUUUGUGGACUGAAAUCUCCGUCAAUCAGCA
Molecule: long non-coding RNA, 217 nt
Filed under: Jatropha curcas
Lineage: Eukaryota; Viridiplantae; Streptophyta; Magnoliopsida; Malpighiales; Euphorbiaceae
Description: long non-coding RNA (JCUR_LNC001659)
Source: RNAcentral